Molecule: ribosomal RNA, 725 nt
Filed under: Paraleptophlebia moerens
Lineage: Eukaryota; Metazoa; Arthropoda; Insecta; Ephemeroptera; Leptophlebiidae
Description: eukaryotic LSU rRNA
Rfam family: Eukaryotic large subunit ribosomal RNA (bases 451-725)
Source: RNAcentral
UAAAGGUCGAACGGGGAGAUUCAGUAUCCAGUCCUCACUGCCGCUUCGCGCCGCCGGGUAUAACUUGGGAUCGCCCCUCGGGGUGGUCCCGGGCCCGCGGCACGUCUCGCGCGCGGGAGGUGGAGCGCACUUCUCCCCUAGUAGGACGCCGCGACCCGCUGGGUGUCGGUCUGAGGUCCGGGUGCGAGCCCGGGACCGCGGUUCGCCGCGGUCCCGGAGCCCCGGUGUCCCGACCGACUGCCCGGCGGUAGAACGUAAGGAAUCGGCCCGCGGGACCUCUCGGUCACGCGCCCGUGCCUCUUGCGAGCGUCCGGUCGCGUUUCCCGUUGUGCGGACUUGUCCGCCGCGGGCCGGCCGGCGUUGUCGGCUUGAGGAUUUCUCGGGCAGCGGCCUUCUCCUGUUUGCGGCGCUCACAACUGGGCGGCCCACCCGGCCCGUCUUGAAACACGGACCAAGGAGUCUAACAUGUGCGCGAGUCAUUGGGUCCCACUACACCCAAGGGCGUAUUGAACGAAAAGGCAGGCCUUUGCGCCGGCCGAGGGAAGAUGGGGUGGCGCUCGCGUCGCCCCCGCAUUCCCGGGGCGUCUCGUCCUACCGCCGCUCGUCGGCGGAAGGUGAGGCGCACCAAGAGCGCACACGUUGGGACCCGAAAGAUGGUGAACUAUGCCUGGCCAGGACGAAGUCAGGGGAAACCCUGAUGGAGGUCCGUAGCGAUUCUGACGUGC